Molecule: long non-coding RNA, 1815 nt
Organism: Gallus gallus (chicken)
Lineage: Eukaryota; Metazoa; Chordata; Aves; Galliformes; Phasianidae
Source: Ensembl
CUGCCAUGGAGGUGUCCCUCGGUGCCCCCGAGGCCGGGCAGUGGCCGGGGCCGAGCCGUUCCUCCGACACAGCCGGGCCUCACAAACGCGGCGGUGGGACAGACACGGCGCUGUCGCCUCCUCCUCCUCCCAGCCGCAAAGUAUGGGCUCAUUAACUCGUCUCCUUUUCUCAUCAUAUCUCCACGGGGCUGAGAGACGAAUUGCGGGGGCUGAAUCGGGAGGGGAUUGCUCUAUAUGGGGGCGAAUGUUUCAAUCAGUUCCUCCUGAAGGACCACACAAAAAGAAACUUUUCGGUUUAUGGUGCUAUUAUGCAGCGUUUUAAUCUAGGGAUAGAUUUAGCCAAAUGUUAUCUAUUGGGAAUUUAAUGAAGCCCUUAUGUAUUCAAUUGCGCUUUAUGCCACACACAGUGCCUCUAUCCAGAAACGUUUCCUUCCACAUAUUUCUUUGUUUCUGUUGGGUGAUUUAUAUAUUUUUAAUUAGUUUUUCUUUAAUUAUUUCAUCUCGGCCGUCUUGUACAACAUUCCUCCCAAGCAGGACUGCGUUUGGUCGCUUCCCACAUCCCCUACACUUUUCCUCCGCCCUUCCCCGUUUGGGAGCUGAUAACUUUGCACGUCCGCGCGCUGCGCCCGUCCCUCAGAGAGCUCCCCCGGGGGCCGACACCGCGACGGCUCCGACGGCACCGCUGUGGGCGCGGGGGCCGGGCCAGGCAGGGGGGGUGGGGGUCUGCACGCCGCUCCCCGGCCCCGAAGCCGCCCCAUCCGCAGCUCCUUUGGGCGGCACGCUUCUCCCGGUCACUUUCCUGCCGCAGCGAGAGGCAUCGUCGGCAUCGGGGGGUGCUCUGGCUCACCCCGCACCCUUGCGGGAUGGAUUCAAGCAGCACUGUCCCUGAGCCCGGGGACGGGGUGGGGCGGCGAUGGCCUCACCUGCUCUCGGCUGCUCCCUUCGCUGCUGUGCCGGUGUCAAAGGGGAGCGCACACGGCCGCCCCCGCAGUGGAGGCCUGGGCGGGAGAUCUGCUGGAAAGCAGCUCUGGUUUAAUAGCCCCUUGGCACGGCCCGGAGACUCUGCUCUAAAUCGUGGAAAUUAUGAUCAUGGCCAAAUGCUCCCUGCACGGGAACUUGCUAACCAAAGCAGAUCCGCUCCUCAGCUGGCCCGGGCCGCAGAGAAGUGCCGCCCGCGUCCCAGCGGAGCUGCUCCCGGCAGAAGAGAAGAGCCGCCGCCCGGCCCGACUCUCCGCCGAGGUCCGGAUUCGACCUAAAAGUGAGGAGAGGCAAAGCCCGGCGCUGGGAGAUGGGUGGCCCCGCGGCGAACAUUGCUGCGGCCCCGCGGAUGGCCGCCGCCGCCCCUGCGCACCCGCAGCCCGCACCGCGGAGGGCGGAGAGUCGCAGCUGGGCCUCGGCAUGCCCAGGAAGCAGGACGAGUUAUAGACUGGGCUGUACGCAUUACCGAUGAUCAUUUAAUGCAAGAUCUAUACGAUUUUAGAAAUGGUACCACUGAAUUCAGCGGGAAAAUCAUAGAGGGAAUGUGUUUUGUUUUGUUUUGUUUUUUCAAACAAAAAAAAUAAUUAAACUAGCCCUUUCUCCAAACCGCAAGAGAGUUGUUGAAUUGAUUCUAAGUUUCCCUUUCGCCGAUGGAGCAAAACGGCAUGCAGAAGUCUGCGGGGCCCCAUAUUUAAAUGAUAAAUUAUGCAACUCAUGUCGGGAGCAAAAGGAUAAAUAAGGGUUUCGGUUGUUGCAAUAACUCGUUCUCAGAAGCUGGGGUAACCCUACCCACCAUCGGCCAGGACGUAUUUCUCUCCCGUAGGGCGGCAGAAAACC